Molecule: long non-coding RNA, 285 nt
Filed under: Capsicum annuum
Lineage: Eukaryota; Viridiplantae; Streptophyta; Magnoliopsida; Solanales; Solanaceae
Description: long non-coding RNA (CANN_LNC002956)
Source: RNAcentral
UUUUUCGGCUAUGAAUAAUUCUAUGUCUAAAUCAUAUUCUAAACUGUCUUUUAAUUCUAGUUGUUUUAUGGUUUUAUUUAUCCAAAUUAAUCUUUCUUUUAAUUGUUCUCUUCCUUUUCUAAGCUGGUUUCUAUAAUUAAUUUCUUCGUAUAGCCAACUUUGUUUUUCUCUAACUCUUUGAAUAUAUUCUAGCAUUUCUUAAUCUGUAUAAUAUCCAUCUGAAUAAUUAUCUAGGUAGUAAUAGUGAUUGUCAUCACUUAAGUAUAUUUCUCCUAACUCGUCUUC